RNAcentral lists this ribosomal RNA (321 nucleotides) under Triticum aestivum (bread wheat). RNAcentral's name for it is "partial small subunit ribosomal RNA". Lineage: Eukaryota; Viridiplantae; Streptophyta; Magnoliopsida; Poales; Poaceae. The record is from RNAcentral.
AUGAAGCAUCAAGGCAAUGGAUUGAACAAUCAGAUGAAGCAUCCAGCUCGUGGAGAAGCAAGGUCUGCAGGAAGACCAAUCGGACUGAGGCAAGAUAGUACAAUUGAUGGCAAUGGACGGAUGAGGGCAAGAUGGUCUUCGCGAAAAAGCUUGGCCGCUUGCUCGCCGGCUUGGAGGCAGCUAAGCCCUGGGUCUGGCAAGGCAAUUGCUUGCUUACUAGUGGAGAAGGCUUCUUCGGGUAAAAUCAAGAAGGUGAAGAAGGCUCUCAGGAGCAUAGGCAAGAAGAGUGGCGCCAUUGGUAAAGCGUCCGUGGCUGAUUAA